AUUUCCUUCUUUUCAUUUAGGUGUGAUAAUAAAAUGAAGGACAAGUGAAAAAGAAAAGGAGAAGAAAGGUGUGUUUCGUUCGAAAGUAGCUGCACCAGGAAUGUGAGCUGGAAUGAUUUACGAUUCUUUGCAAGUCAUAAAAACAUCAGCUAUAAGGGAUGGAAAGUUUUUGCAAAGAUUUGAAAGAAAAUUUACGAUGUGCUCUCAAGUUUCGAUAUAGUGGAACAGUAUCUUUAAUUACGAGGUAAAAUGAUUGGUCUUGAUAGUUGACGCGAAUCUUUAAUAUAUCGGUGGCGAUAAAUUAGUAAAAUCUCGAUUGACUAUAAUUUCUUCGAGGUAUGGCAUCGUUUCGAAAUAAAAUUUUUUAUCCUUGUGGAAAAGAAUUCGAUAUCUUAAUAACUCGUAACACUUGAGAAAUUAUUAGGUAUUUUGAUAUGGAUAAUUACUAGUUAGUAAAUUAGUCUUGUAGAAUUUAGUGCUGUUAUUUAAGGCUUUAAUUUCAGGUUCUCUAUAAAAAUAAAAUCUAUUUACUCGUUUCGUAAAUAAACAAGUGACCUCGAGAUAGUUUGAAUAAAAUUUCAUUUUAAUUGUGCUGAUUAAUUAUAGAUAUGAUUCCGAAGAAUUAAUUGCUAUAAUGAUGUCCAAGUUUGAUCGAAUAAAGUUACUUUUGAUCUUACGGAUCGCAGAAUCUAUAAAUGAUCUGUCUAUAUUAAAUUAUCGAAAAAACUAUAUAAUUUUCGAUUAAUUGAGGGGUAUUUCUUUGGAAAAAAGAAUGGUCGAUCACAGCAUGCAAUUUGUAACUGGUUCUAAGUACUCGAUAUUGAUGAACAAAUUAUGAUUAAUGUCGUAAAAAAAAAGAUAAUUAAAAGUUUAAAAAAUGAACAAUGAAAAGUACUCACCUUCUUACGAUGCGGACAGCAAGAAGAUCCAUUGCCCAUGGUUCGAUCCUUCAAACGAAAGCGAAAGAAUCAACUCUCACACUAAUUCAUAACACUUUAAUACAACGCUUCCAAAAUUUUCUUCGCACAAUCAUUUCUUUCUUUCUUCACCGCUGUUUCAAGAAAAUUGCAGGCUUAUUAUCGCGUUGGUAUUCGAGCCAACCAUUCCAUCGAUAGUCCAAUCGCUUUUAUUAACAAUCUCGACAAGAUCACCUUCUCGUAAGUUUUAUAUCUGAUCCGAAGGAAAAGGUAAUC
Apis florea (little honeybee) is the source of this 1193-nucleotide long non-coding RNA. The record is from RefSeq and is a predicted model, not a curated record. NCBI's taxonomy places the organism in Eukaryota, Metazoa, Arthropoda, Insecta, Hymenoptera, Apidae.